This 169-nucleotide ribosomal RNA is filed under the name uncultured bacterium. RNAcentral's name for it is "partial 16S ribosomal RNA". RNAcentral also lists the same sequence under 2 other names. The record is from RNAcentral.
AUUACCGCGGCUGCUGGCACGAAGUUAGCCGGGGCUUAUUCUUGCGGUACCGUCAUUAUCUUCCCGCACAAAAGAGCUUUACAACCCUAGGGCCUUCAUCACUCACGCGGCAUGGCUGGAUCAGGCUUGCGCCCAUUGUCCAAUAUUCCCCACUGCUGCCUCCCGUAGG